Molecule: long non-coding RNA, 518 nt
Organism: Osmia bicornis bicornis
Lineage: Eukaryota; Metazoa; Arthropoda; Insecta; Hymenoptera; Megachilidae
Exons: 4
Source: RefSeq, a predicted model, not a curated record
UAAUAAAGAGCGAACGACUGUUAGAAAACGUGUACCUGAGUUUCAAUCGCCGAUUACCCAAAUUCCUCCACAAAUGAAUUUAAAUAAAACUUGCCAAUGCAAGUGCAAAGACGAGUUAAAACACGAAUUAACUCAUGACCGGUCAACAAUGUGUCAGAAUUGGCCAUAUGUAUUAAGAUGCACGCAAAGUGGUCGAUUUCGAAGGUGCGGUCACGUCGAGUCGACAAACAACUCCUAGCAACGAGGUGUUGACUCGUCACGCCUUUCUGCAUCGUGAAUCUUCCGCCCUUCGUUGCAACCCUCCGAAGGGCAGGAAUAAGAGUCGAGAAAGAGCCUUUCUGUAGCGUUCGUGAAAGUGUCGUUCCUCUUCGCGUUGUUUACGUUCCAUAAACCAGACCGAGGAAGGGUGUACGGUUGGUUGAAUUCGCGAAAAGAUGGAUCUCCCGGGCUUGACACCUGCCUCGCGCACCCCUUACGAACAUGGAAUUUCGACGUGGGCGUCGCGGCGCCACUUACCA